This 505-nucleotide long non-coding RNA is filed under the name Bos taurus (domestic cattle). RNAcentral's name for it is "long non-coding RNA NONBTAT000271". Lineage: Eukaryota; Metazoa; Chordata; Mammalia; Artiodactyla; Bovidae. The record is from RNAcentral.
UCCUUAUUAACAAAUAAUCCCAGAAUAAUGAAUGCAAAGUAUUGCCACAAAGACCCACUUUAUUUUGUCUGCAUAGAAAUAAUGUGAAUUCUUCAAAUCAUAUAAUUUAAUUAUUCUGAAAGGAAAUGGCAUUUUAAAAGCAGAUUUUUCUUUAGGAAAAAAAUGAUACAAAAAUAAUCUCAAAGUAUGAUGCUUAAAGUAAGAUUUUUCUAUGUUAUGUGGUUAUGUUAUAGAUAAUAUUUGCUGUAUUUUCUACCAUCCAUGAACUUUUAAGUGCGGUAUGAAAUGCCACAUUACACUUAUCUUACACACAGUACUGUCAAACCUCAAAUGUUUUCUUUCUUCAGAUACUUUUCCUUGUACAUGAAACUAGUAGACACUUUCUCUUUAUAUUUGCUGAUAGUGAAAGUUAUAUGCAAUAAAAUAUUUGGUGGUUGAAAGUAGUGUUCACCAGUUGGUUAAAAAAACCAUGAAAUGUAAACUGAAUUGUUAUCUCUUUAUCCUU